RNAcentral lists this transfer RNA (89 nucleotides) under Nocardia cerradoensis. RNAcentral describes it as "tRNA-Pro". Lineage: Bacteria; Bacillati; Actinomycetota; Actinomycetes; Mycobacteriales; Nocardiaceae. The record is from RNAcentral.
UGAUGCCGUGGCCGGCGGGCAGGGGCACAUUCUGGGCGGAUUUGACGGCGGCGGAAAUCGCCGCGGCGUUCGGAUCGCCGGUGACGCCC